CCUACGGGGGGCAGCAGUGGGGAAUAUUGGACAAUGGGGGCAACCCUGAUCCAGCCAUGCCGCGUGUGUGAAGAAGGCCCUCGGGUUGUAAAGCACUUUCAGUGAGGAAGAACGCCUGGUGGUUAAUACCCAUCAGGAAAGACAUCACUCACAGAAGAAGCACCGGCUAACUCCGUGCCAGCAGCCGCGGUAAUACGGAGGGUGCGAGCGUUAAUCGGAAUUACUGGGCGUAAAGCGCGCGUAGGUGGCUUGAUAAGCCGGUUGUGAAAGCCCCGGGCUCAACCUGGGAACGGCAUCCGGAACUGUCAAGCUAGAGUGCAGGAGAGGAAGGUAGAAUUCCCGGUGUAGGGGUGAAAUGCGUAGAGAUCGGGAGGAAUACCAGUGGCGAAGGCGGCCUUCUGGACUGACACUGACACUGAGGUGCGAAAGCGUGGGUAGCAAACAGGAUUAGAUACCCUAGUAGUC
This 465-nucleotide ribosomal RNA is filed under the name Vreelandella stevensii. RNAcentral's name for it is "partial 16S ribosomal RNA". It matches the Rfam family "Bacterial small subunit ribosomal RNA", at positions 338 to 795 of the family's 1533-position model. The record is from RNAcentral. Lineage: Bacteria; Pseudomonadati; Pseudomonadota; Gammaproteobacteria; Oceanospirillales; Halomonadaceae.